GAGGGUAGAGCUCAGUGGUAGAGUGCGUGCUUAGCAUACACGAGGUCCUGGGUUCUAUUCCCAGUCCCUCCA
Molecule: transfer RNA, 72 nt
Filed under: Camelus bactrianus (Bactrian camel)
Lineage: Eukaryota; Metazoa; Chordata; Mammalia; Artiodactyla; Camelidae
Also listed under: 2 other names
Rfam family: tRNA
About the family: Transfer RNA (tRNA) molecules are approximately 80 nucleotides in length. Their secondary structure includes four short double-helical elements and three loops (D, anti-codon, and T loops).
Source: Rfam by way of RNAcentral